UACGGAGGUCCCCAAGGGUUGCCCGGAGUGACUGGGCGUAAAGGGUCCGUAGGCGGUCUGGUAAGUCUCCUGUGAAAGCUGCCCGCUCAACGGGCAGAGGUCAGGAGAUACUGCUGGACUAGGGACCGGCAGGGGGGACCGGAAUUCCCGGUGUAGCGGUGAAAUGCGUAGAUAUCGGGAGGAACGCCGAUGCCGAAGGGGGGUCCCUAGGCCGGCUCCGACGCUGAGGGACGAAAGCUGGGGGAGCGAACCGGAUUAGAUA
RNAcentral lists this ribosomal RNA (262 nucleotides) under uncultured bacterium. RNAcentral's name for it is "partial 16S ribosomal RNA". It matches the Rfam family "Bacterial small subunit ribosomal RNA", at positions 524 to 784 of the family's 1533-position model. The record is from RNAcentral.